Molecule: ribosomal RNA, 137 nt
Filed under: uncultured bacterium
Lineage: Bacteria
Also listed under: 1 other name
Description: partial 16S ribosomal RNA
Rfam family: Bacterial small subunit ribosomal RNA
Source: RNAcentral
UAGGGAAUUUUCCGCAAUGGGCGAAAGCCUGACGGAGCAAUACCGCGUGAGGGAUGACGGCCUGUGGGUUGUAAACCUCUUUUCUCAAGGAAGAAGUUCUGACGGUACUUGAGGAAUAAGCAUCGGCUAACUCUGUG